AGCUUUGCGCAGUGGCAGUAUCGUAGCCAAUGAGGUUUAUCCGAGGCGCAAUUAUUGCUAAUUAAAAAUUAUACUAAGUUGA
This 82-nucleotide small nuclear RNA is filed under the name Neogale vison (American mink). RNAcentral's name for it is "Neovison vison (American mink) U4 spliceosomal RNA (ENSNVIG00000021780.1)". It matches the Rfam family "U4 spliceosomal RNA". From Rfam's summary of the family: U4 small nuclear RNA (U4 snRNA) is a component of the major U2-dependent spliceosome. The structure of U4 snRNA from yeast and human has been reported. Lineage: Eukaryota; Metazoa; Chordata; Mammalia; Carnivora; Mustelidae. The record is from RNAcentral.